UGCUUAUGAUGAAUAAUCUUAAUACCAUCUUUCGGCUGAUAUUAUUUUGAUGAUAAAUAUUAUCUGAAAGCA
Molecule: small nucleolar RNA, 72 nt
Organism: Aphis gossypii (cotton aphid)
Lineage: Eukaryota; Metazoa; Arthropoda; Insecta; Hemiptera; Aphididae
Source: RefSeq, a predicted model, not a curated record